AUGUGGAGCCAUCAGCUGCAAGAGCUGG
This 28-nucleotide non-coding RNA is filed under the name Homo sapiens (human). The record is from RNAcentral. Lineage: Eukaryota; Metazoa; Chordata; Mammalia; Primates; Hominidae.